Molecule: non-coding RNA, 71 nt
Organism: Candidatus Margulisbacteria bacterium GWE2_39_32
Lineage: Bacteria; Bacillati; Candidatus Margulisiibacteriota
Source: Rfam
UCGCCCGUAGUGUAAUGGUAGCACAACUGGUUUUGGUCCAGUUUGUCGAGGUUCGAAUCCUUGCGGGCGAG